Molecule: ribosomal RNA, 515 nt
Filed under: uncultured bacterium
Lineage: Bacteria
Description: partial 16S ribosomal RNA
Rfam family: Bacterial small subunit ribosomal RNA
Source: RNAcentral
GACGAACGCUGGCGGCGUGCCUAAUACAUGCAAGUCGAGCGGAUGAAAGAGGAGCUUGCUCCUCUAGAUUCAGCGGCGGACGGGUGAGUAACACGUGGGCAACCUGCCCUGUAGAUUGGGAUAACUCCGGGAAACCGGGGCUAAUACCGAAUAAUCCUUCGGACCUCAUGGUCCGAUGUUGAAAGACGGCAUCUCGCUGUCACUACAGGAUGGGCCCGCGGCGCAUUAGCUAGUUGGUGAGGUAACGGCUCACCAAGGCCACGAUGCGUAGCCGACCUGAGAGGGUGAUCGGCCACACUGGGACUGAGACACGGCCCAGACUUCUACGGGAGGCAGCAGUAGGGAAUCUUCCACAAUGGACGAAAGUCUGAUGGAGCAACGCCGCGUGAGUGAAGAAGGUUCUCGGAUCGUAAAACUCUGUUGUGAGGGAAGAACAAGUACCGGAGUAACUGCCGGUGCCUUGACGGUGCCUCAUUAGAAAGCCACGGCUAACUACGUGCCAGCAGCCGCAGUAA